UGCUAGAACUCGGCGUAAAGCGUGGUUAAUAGAACGGCCCCUAAGACCAAACACCCGCUGAGCUGUUAUACGCACACGCGGGUAGGAGGGCCCCCUACGAAAGUGGUCUUAACUACUAUGAACCCACGAAAGCUAGGGAA
Molecule: ribosomal RNA, 140 nt
Filed under: Gunnellichthys pleurotaenia
Lineage: Eukaryota; Metazoa; Chordata; Actinopteri; Gobiiformes; Gobiidae
Description: partial 12S ribosomal RNA
Source: RNAcentral